AUGGGGACCAAACGUCCCAGUCUGACUCCCUUUGAUACAUUUGAUCCAUCCAAUCAAAGCGCUUCCUACCGGAACCCUCAGCCAAUCAGCCAGAUCUACCGCGAAACAAGUCCCAGACCUGGAACUGUGGCCCGGACAGACCGAGACAGGGAGAGGAUCCAAGAGGAGGAAUGGAGGAGAGAAAGAGAAAUGGAGAGAUUGAAGGACAAAACAAGAAAUAGAAGAAAAGAGAUGGAACCCGGACCAAGAGAGAGGAACAGAGAGAAGGAGUGUGCCCUCAUAUCCAGAGGGAGGGAGGAGGAAAGGGAAUGGAGAGAGAGAGAAAGGGGGGGAGCGGGAGAGAGACGUGCCAAUGGAAGACCUACUUCAAAUCUGGAGAUCAGGAACCACAGAGACAGAGAAAAGGAGAGAAAGAAAGGAGACACGUUUCCUAGAAUGGUAAAACAUAGCAAAGAGAGAGACAGAAGAAUACGUGCAUUUGUGGAGGAAGAUGUGGGGAAAGAAGGAAUGAGACAAUUGGAGAGACCGAAGGGAACAGAGAUGGACGACUGGGAGAGAGAACGAGAGACAGCAGCAAAGAUACAGCGGUAUCGAGAUGCAGAGAGGGACUUCCAAAGGCACAGAGAGAGGGAGAGGGAGAAGGAGAGAAUCGGGGCACAGGAGGACAGAGAGAGAAAUGGAGGAAAGCCCAUGGAGGAUAAGACAGUGAGACGGAGGGAGAGAGCGAGGGAAGCGGAGCCAGAUUUCAGAGAGAGGAGAAGAGAGAGGGACUCAAAGGGUAAUGACCUACGGAGCAAAAGAGAGAGGUAUAUGGAUGGAGAGAGAGAGAGGUCAAAACUCUGGCAGGGAGAAAGAGAGGAUGGAAGAAGAGAGGGAGAUUCACAGAACUAUUCCGAUAGAGAGGGCAGGGAUGGAAGGAGGGAAGGAAAUACAGAGGGACAGAGGGACACCAGGAGUGAGGGAGACAGUGAUGGAGAGAAGAGGAAAGAGAGAGUGAGAGAUGACAACAGAAGAGAACUGAAACAUCUGCACAGUAAAAGUGAGGGGGACACUGAGGGGAACGCAGCAUGGGAUAGAGUGAGGGAGAAAGAGAAGGAGAGACAGAAAUGGAGAGGGGGGGAGAUAUACAGAGAGAGGGAUGGAAGGAGAGAUGCUUAUAGAGAGAGAGUUAGGGAAGGGGACAGGGAUGGAAAGAGUGACAUGGAGAGAUACAGAGAGAGGGACAGGAGAAAAGUGAGGGAAGUGGAGAGAGAGAGGGAUGAGGUGAGAGAAGGGGGCAGGCGAGAGGACAGACCAAGGGAAAGGAGGGACCUAGAGAAAGUGAGGGUGGGAACACAGCCCAAUGUAACUGGAGAGAGAAGGAAGCGGAUGGAUGGAGAGAGAUUCAGAGAGAGGGAGAGAUAUUCCAAGGGGGAGGAUGAAGAGAGGAGGCGCAGGGAGAAGAGGGACAGAGAGACAGAUCUCAAAAGGGAGGGAGGAGCAGACGGAGCUAGUCGAUCGCUGAGCGAGACAGCCCCAAGGGUGCCACCACGAGUCCAGAGCAGCGGAGAAUGGAGCAGUGACAUAGAGAAGGAAAGAAAAUGGAGAAGAGGAAGAGAAAGUCAUGAAGAGAAGGAGUCAGAGGGAGAGAAGGAUGUGGACAGGGGGCAGAGAGACUGUAGUGAAAGAGAGAGACCAGAUAGAGUGAGGGGGAGAGAAGAAGGAAAGGAAGAGACGAUACCAAAGCGCCCUGAGCAGAGGAGGAUGUGGUUAUUACCACAGAGGGUCAGAUAUAACAAAGACUCCUCUUUAGAGGAUGAGGUUAUAGAGCGAGAAAGAGAUAGGCACACUAACAGAUGGAGAGAGAGAAGUGAAGAAGAGGACAGAUCCGUGGAACAAAGGACAGGCAGAGAAAAAGAGAGGAAGACAGAGGGAGAAGGACAAGAGGACAGAUCCGUGGAACAAAGGACAGGCAGAGAAAAAGAGAGGAAGACAGAGGGAGAAGGACAAGAGGACAGAUCCGUGGAACAAAGGACAGGCAGAGAAAAAGAGAGGAAGACAGAGGGAGAAGGACAAGAGGACAGAUCCGUGGAACAAAGGACAGGCAGAGAAAAAGAGAGGAAGACAGAGGGAGAAGGACAAGAGGAUAGGCCGGUGGAACAAAGAAAGUCCAUAGACGAAGAGAGAGAAGCUGAGAGGGAGGGAGGGAGGGAGAGGUAUUUGGAGAGAGGGUUAAAUGUAGAUGAAGACGAUGAGACAGAAGCCUGGAGGAGUUAUAGCAGAGGAGAGGAACACCAGACUUACAGCGAUGGAGAGAGAGAGGAACGCUGGCAGAGGGACAGGGAGACGGAGAGAGAGAAUGUGACAGAUAACACAGAAGGUGACAGUGAGGAAGAAGGAGGAAGUGAUAGAUAUACACUCUUCGAGAGCGAUGGAGGAAGUGAUAGAGAGUGGGAAGGAGGGAGGGAUAGAAUCGCUUCCUCUGAGGACGGCUUUAUCACUGUGUCCAGUGGUGGAGAAGAGGAGUUUGAGGACUGCAAGGAAUUCUUGGAAGUUGGGGUUGCUAUUCAUGUUACCAGGCAACCUGUUAGCUUUCAGGGGAGCGAGGGAGAGAUGAAGAGAGGUGGAGGGAGAAGACAUGAAAGAGAGAGAGAAAGAACAGAAGAGAGGACAGAGCAAAAGGAUGAUGCAGUGGUGGGAGAGGUGAAUGAUGGAAAGGGGAAGAAGCAACCAACCUAUGUAUUCUGUGUGAUUGGGCAAACACUGCCCAGGUCAAAACCCAAUCAGACAGCAGUCUUGGGUGACAUGGAAUCAGAGCGGACCAAUCAAAAUCCUGGAUAUGGUCAUAGGGACAGUGAUGACAUCACACACCUCCCUCAUGAGAACCCUUCCAGAGAUGGAGACCAAGGGGCAGAGGAUGAGAGAAAAAUAGUGAGGGAUGAGAUCCAUGUGCCAAAGGAGGAGAGAACAGACACAGAAGAGAGCUCCAUAGUGGACGUCAGUCACACCACCCUAGAACAAGAGAGCGGAGAACGACUGAAGGUCAUGGAGGAGAACCCAUACGCUGAGAUAGAGCGAAGGAGGAACUCUGAGACCGAAAAACUCCUCAAAGAGUGGAGAGAAAGACAUGAAGAGUACACAGAAACAAGAGAGAGGGACCCAACAGACAGGAGGAGGACAGAACCAGAGAUAGGUCCAUCUUCACAUCCCAGUGGAGAGUACCACCACCAUGGGAUCCCUGUAGUUGACCAAGCCACCUCUGACCAAAAUGACCCUGGAGUGAUGAGCCCAGAGGAAGCUGUGGCCAUCCAAAUCUGUAUAAGUGAAGCCUGGAGCACAGAAGAGGAGGCCAAGCGCCACUCCCAGCCCUCACACAUGAAGUGGGCCAAGAACGUAUUGAGCGAAAUCCUUGGCAGCUCGGAGGAACCAGCCCUCAGCAACCCCCAGCCAGAGUCACAGGGAAGUCAAGAGGUCAGCCAGACUGCGAGAGGGACCGAGAGGGUAGAAGAGGAGCUAGAGGAAGAAAAGGAUGAGACGCUAGAGGGGGGAGGAGCCUCAACCGUCUACGCCACGGUUCAGAAGAGGAAGAAGCGUGGGAGGAAGUCGGUGGAGGAGAGGCUGGUUGAACGGGAGGCAGAGCCAGGGAAGCUGGAGGAUGAGAGAGGUACAGGGGAGAAACUAACAGACGUGCAUGCUGAGGCUUUCACAGCUAUGCUUGGUGAUGGCAAACCCAUAGACAUGCAUGCUGCUCUGACCCUACACAAUACUCAUGGUGACACACCUACAGACACACAGGGAGAGGAGGUGGAGGGUAACAAUGUGUGUGCGGACAGACAAACAGACAGUCAUAUACAUAUCCAGGUAGAGAUGGUGACAGAGGAUGAGGGUGAGAUGGAGAAAGGGGUCGAAGUUGGGGACGAGGUUCAUAUACUGGAUGCAGAGAAAGAAGCGAAUUCCCAGAAAGAGGAAGAUCUGUUUCUCUCUGUGAGCAACACCCUGUACAAACCAACCAGCUGCCCCAGCCUUAUAUACAACCCUGAUUCAGAACAACCUAUCACCACCACAGAGGAAAAGACGGAGGAAGAAGGGGAGAAAGAGAGGACUGUGGGAGAUGGGGAAGAGAAUAGUGUGGUAGAGAGGAAGCAGGAAAGAAGGAUCGAGGAUGGGACCGAGGACAUUGGGAAAGUGGGAGAGGCGACUGAGGAAAGGAAAGUGGAAAGGGAGGAGGAGAAGAGGGUAGGAGGGGAAGAGGAGAGGAUGAGGGAGGGCAAGGAAGAGAGUAAAAAAACGGGAGGAGGGGGGGUGAAGAGCACUUGUAGCUUCCAAGAUUUGGGCACCGAUGUUCGGUAUAGGAGGCGGGGGUUCCGCAAGACAACAGAAAGAAGAAACGAGGAAGAAGAAGAAGGAAGAGGAGAUGCGAGGGAUCGCAGAACAAGAAUAUUCCAGGCGUCAGGUGAUGAUGAUGAGGAGGAGGAGGUGAACUUCAACUGGGGAGAUGUGGAUCUGAGGAAUGUCACGGAUACCAUCAGAAUGGCUAGGAGGAACUCCAAAUUUUACAGUGAGUAUCUCUGCUUUACCUCUACUGCACUACUUCUACUGCACUACUUCUACUGCACUACCUCUACUGCACUACCUCUACUGCUCUACUUCUACUGCAUUACUUCUACUGCUCUACUUCUACUGCACUACCUCUACUGCACUACCUCUACUGCUCUACUUCUACUGCACUACCUCUACUGCACUACCUCUACUGCUCUACUUCUACUGCACUACCUCUACUGCUCUACUUCUACUGCACUACUUCUACUGCACUACCUCUACUGCACUACCUCUACUGCUCUACUUCUACUGCUCUACUUCUACUGCACUACUUCUACUGCACUACUUCUACUGCACUACUUCUACUGCACUACCUCUACUGCACUACUUCUACUGCUCUACUUCUACUGCACUACCUCUACUGCACUACUUCUACUGCACUACUUCUACUGCACUACCUCUACUGCACUACUUCUACUGCUCUACUUCUACUGCACUACCUCUACUGCACUACCUCUACUGCUCUACUUCUACUGCACUACUUCUACUGCACUACCUCUACUGCUCUACUUCUACUGCACUACUUCUACUGCACUACCUCUACUGCACUACCUCUACUGCUCUACUUCUACUGCACUACUUCUACUGCACUACCUCUACUGCACUACCUCUACUGCACUACCUCUACUGCUCUACUUCUACUGCACUACUUCUACUGCACUACCUCUACUGCUCUACUUCUACUGCACUACCUCUACUGCACUACCUCUACUGCUCUACUUCUACUGCACUACCUCUACUGCACUACCUCUACCUCUACUGCACUACCUCUACUUCUACUGCACUACCUCUUCUUCUACUGCACUACCUCUUCCUCUACUGCACUACCUCUACCUCUACUGCACUACCUCUACUUCUACUGCACUGCCUCUACCUCUACUGCACUACCUCUACUGCACUACCUCUACUUCUACUGCACUACCUCUACUUCUACUGCACUACCUCUACUUCUACUGCACUACCUCUACUUCUACUGCACUACCUCUACUUCUACUGCACUACCUCUACUUCUACUGCACUACCUUUACCUCUACUGCACUACCUCUACUUCUACUGCACUACCUCUUCUUCUACUGCACUACCUCUACUGCACUACUUCUACUGCACUACCUCUACUACACUACCUUUACUGCACUACUUGUACUGCUCUACUUCUACUGCACUACUUCUACUGCACUACCUCUACUGCACUACCUCUACUACACUACCUCUACUGCACUACCUCUACUACACUACCUUUACUGCACUACCUUUACUGCACUACCUCUACUACACUACCUUUACUGCACUACUUGUACUGCUCUACUUCUACUGCUCUACUUCUACUGCUCUACUUCUACUGCACUACCUCUACUACCUACCUUUACUGCUCUACCUCUACUACACUACCUUUACUGCACUACCUCUACUACCUACCUUUACUGCACUACUUCUACUGCUCUACCUCUACUGCACUACCUCUACUACACUACCUUUACUGCACUACUUGUACUGCUCUACUUCUACUGCACUACUUCUACUGCACUACCUCUACUGCACUACCUCUACUGCACUACCUCUACUACACUACCUCUACUGCUCUACUUGUACUGCUCUACUUCUACUGCACUACCUUUACUGCAUUACUUCUACUGCUCUACUUCUACUGCACUACCUCUACUACCUACCUUUACUGCACUACCUCUACUACCUACCUUUACUGCACUACCUCUACUGCUCUACCUCUACUACACUACCUUUACUGCACUACCUCUACUACCUACCUUUACUGCACUACCUCUACUACCUACCUUUACUGCACUACCUCUACUGCUCUACCUUUACUGCACUACCUUUACUGCAUUACUUCUACUGCUCUACUUCUACUGCACUACCUCUACUACCUACCUUUACUGCUCUACCUCUACUACACUACCUUUACUGCACUACCUCUACUACCUACCUUUACUGCACUACUUCUACUGCUCUACCUCUACUGCACUACCUUUACUACACUACCUUUACUGCACUACUUGUACUGCUCUACUUCUACUGCACUACCUCUACUGCACUACCUCUACUACACUACCUAUACUGCACUACUUGUACUGCUCUACUUCUACUGCACUACUUCUACUGCACUACCUUUACUGCAUUACUUCUACUGCUCUACUUCUACUGCACUACCUCUACUACCUACCUUUACUGCACUACUUGUACUGCUCUACUUCUACUGCUCUACCUCUACUGCACUACCUCUACUACACUACCUUUACUGCACUACUUGUACUGCUCUACUUCUACUGCUCUACUUCUACUGCACUACCUCUACUGCUCUACUUCUACUGCUCUACCUCUUCCUCUACUGCUCUACCUCUUCCUCUUCCUCUACUGCUCUGCCUCUCUUUUCUCUCCUUCAUCCCUGAGGCACUCACAUCCACUUUCACACAUCCACUUCUCUGA
Molecule: long non-coding RNA, 7020 nt
Filed under: Oncorhynchus mykiss (rainbow trout)
Lineage: Eukaryota; Metazoa; Chordata; Actinopteri; Salmoniformes; Salmonidae
Description: lncRNA (ENSOMYG00000027767.2)
Source: RNAcentral